UACUGCUCAGUAACACGUGGAUAACCUGCCCUAAGGAAGGGGGUAACCUCGGGAAACUGAGGAUAAUACCCUAUAGGAUACCGAUGCUGGAAUGCCCGGUAUCCCAAAGCUCCGGCGCCUUAGGAUGGAUCUGCGGCCGAUUAGGUCGUUGUUGGGGUAACGGCCCAACAAGCCGAUAAUCGGUACGGGUUGUGGGAGCAAGAGCCCGGAGUUGGAUUCUGAGACACGAAUCCAGGCCCUACGGGGCGCAGCAGGCGCGAAAACUUUACAAUGCGGGCAACCGUGAUAAGGGAACCUCGAGUGCCUGUACAUGCAGGCUGUCUGGGUGUCUAAAACACACCCAAAGAAAGGGCCGGGCAAGACCGGUGCCAGCCGCCGCGGUAAUACCGGCGGCUCGAGUGGUGGCCACUUUUAUUGGGCUUAAAGCGUUCGUAGCUGGGUUGUUAAGUCUCUUGGGAAAUCUGGCAGCUUAACUGUCAGGCGUCUAAGAGAUACUGGCAAUCUAGGAACCGGGAGAGGUGAGGGGUACUUCGGGGGUAGGAGUGAAAUCCUGUAAUCCUCGAGGGACCACCUGUGGCGAAGGCGCCUCACCAGAACGGCUUCGACAGUGAGGGACGAAAGCUGGGGGAGCAAACCGGAUWAGAUACCCGGGUAGUCCCAGCCGUAAACGAUGCGCGUUAGGUGUUCGAUGACCACGAGUCAUCGAGGUGCCGAAGGGAAACCGUGAAACGCGCCGCCUGGAAG
This 744-nucleotide ribosomal RNA is filed under the name uncultured Methanoculleus sp. RNAcentral describes it as "bacterial SSU rRNA". It matches the Rfam family "Archaeal small subunit ribosomal RNA", at positions 84 to 834 of the family's 1478-position model. The record is from RNAcentral. Lineage: Archaea; Methanobacteriati; Methanobacteriota; Methanomicrobia; Methanomicrobiales; Methanomicrobiaceae.